CGCAAGAGUGAACUAGCUAACUGRAAUCAUAGAAUUUUUUAAAAUUCAUGAUGUCGUAAGGGAAAAUAAUGAUAAUACCUUACUAUUAGUGUUGUCCAAAGCUGGUGCCAGAAGACUCGGUAAGACCAGAAACGCAAACGUUAAUCAUCAUAAACAGGCGUAAAGGGUUUGUAGGCAGCUUUUAUCAGAUUAUGCAUUCAAAAUAAAGUAGUCUAAUUAAAAGCUAGAAUCAAAAAGAGGUUAUAGUGUAUAACGCCUAGAGGAGGGCUGAUAUCCUUAGAUCCUAGGCAGAAUACUAAGGGCGAAGGCCACUUUCCAUUAAUGAUUGACGCUGAGAAACGAAGGUUAGGGUAGGAAAUAGGAUUAGAUACCCCGGUACUCCUUUCUGUAAACGAUGAAUGGUAGUCAUUAGUUUUAAUAAAUAAUUUAAAAUAACUAGAGACGAAGUUAACACAAUAACCAUUCCGCCUUGUGAGUACUACUGCAAAGUAGAAAACAAAAAAAUUAGUCGGUCUCGAAGCAAACGGAGUGAAGCAUGUUAUUU
Molecule: ribosomal RNA, 544 nt
Filed under: Haploporus dextrinoideus
Lineage: Eukaryota; Fungi; Basidiomycota; Agaricomycetes; Polyporales; Polyporaceae
Description: SSU rRNA
Source: RNAcentral